Mus musculus (house mouse) is the source of this 1514-nucleotide long non-coding RNA. RefSeq annotates it as predicted gene 11754. NCBI's taxonomy places the organism in Eukaryota, Metazoa, Chordata, Mammalia, Rodentia, Muridae. The transcript has 2 exons. The record is from RefSeq and is a predicted model, not a curated record.
ACCAAGCCCUUGAACUCCUUCUAAAGAAUCCUUUGAGGGCUCAGAGGACAGUGGUGCCAGCACUCCUAAGGUCCCACCAACCCUUGGGGCAAGAGGGACUUUUUAUCUAAAAGCUGUGUGCUCCAGCGUCCCUGGAGGUCUCUCCACAUCGCAGAGACCCACCAUAGAAGGCAUACCAAGCUGGUGGCACUGGAACCCCAAAGCUUGCCUGCCCCGGGCCUCACAUGCUGUCCAUGCUGAAAGCCUGGAUGAGCUUUCUUCAAAUUCUCUCAGGAAGUGCUGCUCCAUAUCUGUAUCCAGAUUCAUUCUUCUGCUGAGGACACCCAUGACACCGAGCAAAGUGCCCACUCUCGAUGGGACUUCAGCUUCAUUUGAUUAUGUGGACAAAGAUCUGGUCCCUGCCAAGGUCACACUCCAAGGUCCCAAGAUGGGCGGGAGUUUAGGAACAAAGGGAUUAUUCAGCCUAGUACUGAGCAGGAUGAGAUGAGAAAUCUCAAACAUGAUGCUCAGGGACAGCCUAGAAAUGUCCCCGGAAGCAGAGGACAUGGCAUCUGGAGGUUCUGGUACUAGGCAAGGGCAGGAGCAGAGUCAGCCAUUCUGGGCACCCCCAGCCCUCCUGGAAUCAAGCAGCUGCCUGCUGGCUGCCCUGCUGGGUGGCCAGCUCUGAGAGAGACCCAUGCGCAGACUGGUCCUUGAGGACAAGCCCCAUAAUUACCUCCGGCUGCCAGCACACAGCAUCCACGUCAGUGAUAAGCCGAGCCGGGUGGGAGGUGCACCAGCCCACAGACACCUCAGAGGUGGGCCGGUCCUGCUGACAUCAGCGGCUCUCUGCUUGAGACAGAAGCCCUGGCCAUGCUUUGACAGGAAGAAGAAGACCUUCCCUGGAGGAAACCUGAGCUAGCUGCCCGCUCGAUGCUAGGCAUCUCCGGAGCCCACGGGAAGUUGCUAUCUCCUGAGUGAGAUUUUUGCCUAGAGCUGUUCUGGACAGAUGACGUAUUAUUGAUGUGACUGUCCGGGCCCAGUGAUCCCACUUGACAGCCCAGGGAGGCCUGGGAAGUUCAUCACCUAUCCGCCUCAUUCUCUAUGUCCACUGUUGUAGCCACCUACAGAGGCAAGCCGGAGCUAGCAUGGUCUGUUCACUUUUGUGAGGGACCAGAAGUCACACACCAAACCUGAUUAAGGAGCAAGAGAUCGUGUGACCGCUGACAUUCAUCCCCACACCUGUGCCUCAGGCUACAGGAAUGACGUCAGACUCUGAUGGGCCAGAUUCCAGCAUAAUUGUCUGGAUGGUGAAUAUUGAACUCUCAGAUCCACAGUGUCCAGGAAGGAGACCACAAGCUACACACGGCUUCUGAGCAGUUAAAAGGUGCUGACUGCCAAAAUCCAUAAGGCAUUGCCAAGACUUCAAAGGAUCAUGAUAAUGAAGACGGCUCUGUAAUGUUUAUAUUGACCACAUGUUGAAGUAAAAAAUAUUUGGAUGCAUGAGAAUAAACAAAUGUAGUAUUAACUCUUAA